Long non-coding RNA from Prunus dulcis (almond), 800 nucleotides. RefSeq lists it as uncharacterized. The record is from RefSeq and is a predicted model, not a curated record. The transcript has 5 exons. Lineage: Eukaryota; Viridiplantae; Streptophyta; Magnoliopsida; Rosales; Rosaceae.
GAUGCAAAAACCAAGGGAAGACGUUGCCUUUGCUCAUGUUUGUCAAAGCAGACCAUGUAGUCCACUAAAAAUGAAUUGAAAGUCAUCCCAGGCUUUGAUUCCCUUUGCUUUGGCAGCUUCUUCGACUUUUAGGCUUCUUUGUCUUUGGCUUUCAACAGCCCCAACACAGGAGGCUUCUUGACUCACAUCAUUUGAGAGGGCCAUCAUACUGCCCAUUAAGGUGCUGGUUUUGCUUUGUCUCAGUUGCUUCAUGUUUUGCCAGCAACAAAGUGAGAAGUUUUUUUCUACAGAGGAGUGCUGGCUUAAUAAUUUUCUUGGGCUGUCUGGCUGGGGAUUUUUUCUUUGUUGGCAAACUUUGAAGCACAGAACGUGGGUGUGAAUCAUCAGCUUUUCACGUUUUGCUACCUGUUCUCUCUCCAAUCUGCAGACUUGGAAUUUUGCUCUGCUGAAGGCAUGGAUGCAAAUGGUCAAUUAUACGUCCAACGAGUGCUCGAUAAGAAAGGGCUUCCAAUUGGUCAAGAAUAUGAUAGGUCUAUGCCUUUGAACUCAGUUCAAAUUGAUGUACCUCCUGAGGAUAGAGUCACUUGGUUUACCACUGAGAAUGUGAACUCUGGAUAUUGCGAGUUUAUUCCUGAUGAUGGAAUUCUUAAAGUUUGUCGAGUUCACGGUUCAAAGUUUGAAGCCUGCACUUUGAUGGAGGUCAACAAUAAUACCGAUGGUGACACUGAAGUUGGCCAUAAAAAUGAUUUUCCUCCUAUUUUAUGUAAAAUGCUCAAGAGCAAAACAGAUUGGGGGCGUGA